This 234-nucleotide ribosomal RNA is filed under the name uncultured bacterium. RNAcentral's name for it is "partial 16S ribosomal RNA". It matches the Rfam family "Bacterial small subunit ribosomal RNA", at positions 118 to 346 of the family's 1533-position model. The record is from RNAcentral.
UGAGGAACAUGAUCUUCGGCGGGGGAUAGCCGGCCCAACGGCCGGGUAAUACCGCGUACGACCACAUGGGGACAUCCCUGAGUGGUGAAAGCAGCAAUGCGCCGAUGGAGUGCCUCGCGGCCUAUCAGCUAGUUGGUGAGGUAACGGCUCACCAAGGCGACGACGGGUAGCUGGUCUGAGAGGAUGGCCAGCCACAGUUGGGACUGAGACACGGCCCAGACUCCCGUAACGGGG